Long non-coding RNA from Mus pahari (shrew mouse), 960 nucleotides. RefSeq lists it as uncharacterized. The transcript is spliced from 3 exons. The record is from RefSeq and is a predicted model, not a curated record. NCBI's taxonomy places the organism in Eukaryota, Metazoa, Chordata, Mammalia, Rodentia, Muridae.
GCCCACGCGGGACCGUGCUGCCGAGCAGGGCGCUUGCUGGCCACCCGGUUCCUGCGGCCGCUGCGUCCUGGAGAAUCUGCAAAACAGCCCUUCCAAGCAUAUAUUUUUAAACAUGGAGAACAAGACAUGAAAGCUACAGCAUGUUUUAAAACAUCUGCAGGGCUGGCAAGAUGGUUCACUUGUAAAGAUGCUUGCCACCAAACCUAUGCAGAGCCAAUCUCCAGAUCCCACUGGUGGAAGGAGAGAAUCAAAUCCUGGAAGCCACCCUGACUACCACACGCACACCACGACAGCACUGCCAUAAGCACUCUGCCUUACUUUGAAAAAACCCUGAAAUAUGAACAUCAGAAUUCUUGACUGGAUGAGUAAGUAUACAUCGCUGACUAAGGGGACAGCAGGAGCCCCACCCCAGGGUUAUGCAGUUCAGGGAAAACAGAAGGCACGUUGACCAAGCUCCACUUGUCCUGCUGCUGUGUGAACCAAGGCUUACAGAGCACUCUGGCUGGCCCUGAGCUCAUCUGGAAGCCCAGUCAAUUCUUGAACUUUUGAGAGUCUCCUGACUCAGCCUCCUAAUCAGCUGUGGCCUCCGCCUUCCUAGAAAAUUUUUAUGAAAACCAGAUGUAAGUUGUUCCUAAACCAUCAUGAAAUGGCCUUUAGUCCAUAGUAUUAUGGAUCAAGGUAUAGAGUGAAGGCUGGACUCUUAACACAAGGCUGUAUUUCAGUGGGCAUUCUUUCUCCGUUUACAUCUCCAUGAUGACACCUCAAAAGCGAAGAAUCACUGCACCUAAACCUGUGAAUCUAUUCAGUUCCUCAGGAGACAACACUACAACCAAUCACUGCUCUAAGACUUACCAAAAGUCUUUCUCUAAAAGCUUCCAAAUUUAAUGUAUAGGGACAGGGGGAUAAAAAUUUAAAAAAAUUUUGGUAGGUUUGUAACACUAAAUAAAUGCACAAUGAAAG